GCGGACAGAAGGGAGCUUGCUCCCGGAUGUUAGCGGCGGACGGGUGAGUAACACGUGGGUAACCUGCCUGUAAGACUGGGAUAACUCCGGGAAACCGGUCGAAAUACCGGAUAGUUCCUUGAACCGCAUGGUUCAAGGAUGAAAGACGGUUUCGGCUGUCACUUACAGAUGGACCCGCGGCGCAUUAGCUAGUUGGUGAGGUAACGGCUCACCAAGGCGACGAUGCGUAGCCGACCUGAGAGGGUGAUCGGCCACACUGGGACUGAGACACGGCCCAGACUCCUACGGGAGGCAGCAGUAGGGAAUCUUCCGCAAUGGACGUAAGUCUGACGGAGCAACGCCGCGUGAGUGAUGAAGGUAAUCGGAUCGUAAAGCUCUGUUGUUAGGGAAGAACAAGUGCAAGAGUAACUGCUUGCACCUUGACGGUACCUAACCAGAAAGCCACGGCUAACUACGUGCCAGCAGCCGCGGUAAUACGUAGGUGGCAAGCGUUGUCCGGAAUUAUUGGGCGUAAAGGGCUCGCAGGCGGUUUCUUAAGUCUGAUGUGAAUGCCCCCGGCUCAACCGGGGAGGGUCAUUGGAAACUGGGAAACUUGAGUGCAGAAGAGGAGAGUGGAAUUCCACGUGUAGCGGCGAAAUGCGUAGAGAUGUGGAGGAACACCAGUGGCGAAGGCGACUCUCUGGUCUGUAACUGACGCUGAGGAGCGAAAGCGUGGGGAGCGAACAGGAUUAGAUACCCUGGUAGUCCACGCAUGCAACGAUGAGU
RNAcentral lists this ribosomal RNA (765 nucleotides) under Bacillus stratosphericus. RNAcentral describes it as "bacterial SSU rRNA". It matches the Rfam family "Bacterial small subunit ribosomal RNA", at positions 66 to 814 of the family's 1533-position model. Lineage: Bacteria; Bacillati; Bacillota; Bacilli; Caryophanales; Bacillaceae. The record is from RNAcentral.